This 254-nucleotide ribosomal RNA is filed under the name uncultured bacterium. RNAcentral's name for it is "partial 16S ribosomal RNA". It matches the Rfam family "Bacterial small subunit ribosomal RNA", at positions 524 to 776 of the family's 1533-position model. The record is from RNAcentral.
CACGUAGGGAGCAAGCGUUGUCCGGAUUUAUUGGGCGUAAAGAGCUCGUAGGUGGUUCGGUAAGUCAGGUGUGAAACCUCCAGGCUCAACCUGGAGACGCCACUUGAUACUGCUGUGACUGGAGUCCGGUAGGGGAGCGUGGAAUUCCUGGUGUAGCGGUGAAAUGCGCAGAUAUCAGGAGGAACACCCGUGGCGAAAGCGGCUCUCUGGGACGGUACUGACGCUGAGACGCGAAAGCGUGGGGAGCAAACAGG